AGCAGCCGCGGUAAUUCCAGCUCCAAUAGCGUAUAUUAAAGUUGUUGCAGUUAAAAAGCUCGUAGUUGAAUUUCGGGAUCAAUUAAUUGGUCGUGCCUCUGGUACGUACUGAUUUUAUUGGUUUCUCCCUUCUGACGAACCAUGAUGUCAUUAAUUUGGUGUCGUGGAGAAUCAGGACUGUUACUUUGAAAAAUUAGAGUGUUUAAAGCAAGCUAACGCUUGAAUACAUUAGCAUGGAAUAAUGAAAUAGGACGUUUGAUCCUAUUUUGUUGGUUUCUAGGAUCGACGUAAUGAUUAAUAGGGAUAGUUGGGGGCAUUAGUAUUCAAUUGUCAGAGGUGAAAUUCUUGGGUUUAUUGAAGACUAACUACUGCGAAAGCAUUUGCCAAGGAUGUUUUCAUUAAUCAAAGAACGAAAGUUAGGGGAAUCGAAGACGAUCAGAUACCGUCGUAGUCUUAACCAUAAACUAUGCGACUAGGGAUCGGAUGAUGUUAAUUUUUAAUGUACUCUA
RNAcentral lists this ribosomal RNA (509 nucleotides) under uncultured Glomeraceae. RNAcentral describes it as "SSU rRNA". It matches the Rfam family "Eukaryotic small subunit ribosomal RNA", at positions 569 to 1083 of the family's 1831-position model. Lineage: Eukaryota; Fungi; Glomeromycota; Glomeromycetes; Glomerales; Glomeraceae. The record is from RNAcentral.